UUUUAUGAGAGUUUGAUCCUGGCUCAGGAUGAACGCUGGCGGCGUGCCUAACACAUGCAAGUCGAGCGAGAAAUAGGGGAACGGAGGUUUCGACCAAAGCAAACCUAUGGAAAGCGG
Molecule: ribosomal RNA, 117 nt
Filed under: Eubacteriales Family XIII. Incertae Sedis bacterium
Lineage: Bacteria; Bacillati; Bacillota; Clostridia; Peptostreptococcales; Anaerovoracaceae
Description: partial 16S ribosomal RNA
Rfam family: Bacterial small subunit ribosomal RNA
Source: RNAcentral